UACAGAAGCCCCAAGCGUUACCCGGAAUCACUGGGCGUAAAGGGUGCGUAGGCGGUUAUAUUAGUCGGAUGUUAAAUCCCGGGGCUCAACCUCGGAAUCGCAUUCGAAACGGUAUGACUAGGAGGAGUGAGAGGUGUGCGGAACUCAAGGUGUAGGGGUGAAAUCCGCUGAUGUCUUGGGGAACACCAAAUGCGAAGGCAGCACACUGGCACUCUCUCGACGCGGAGGCACGAAAGCGUGGGUAGAGAAUGGG
This 253-nucleotide unclassified non-coding RNA is filed under the name Candidatus Kaiserbacteria bacterium. RNAcentral describes it as "contains 16S-23S intergenic spacer region". It matches the Rfam family "Bacterial small subunit ribosomal RNA", at positions 524 to 776 of the family's 1533-position model. The record is from RNAcentral. Lineage: Bacteria; Candidatus Kaiseribacteriota.